AGAGUUUGAUCCUGGCUCAGGAUGAACGCUGGCGGCGUGCCUAACACAUGCAAGUCGAGCGGCAGCGAAGGGUGCUUGCACCCUGUCGGCGAGCGGCGGACGGCUGAGUAACGCGUGGGAACGUGCCCCAAAGUGAGGAAUAACUGCCCGAAAGGGUAGCUAAUACCGCAUAUUAUCUUCGGAUCAAAGGAUUUAUCCGCUUUGGGAGCGGCCCGCGUCGGAUUAGGUAGUUGGUGAGGUAAUGGCUCACCAAGCCGACGAUCCGUAGCUGGUCUGAGAGGAUGACCAGCCAGACUGGAACUGAGACACGGUCCAGACUCCUACGGGAGGCAGCAGUGAGGAAUCUUCCACAAUGGGCGAAAGCCUGAUGGAGCAACGCCGCGUGCAGGAUGAAGGCCUUCGGGUUGUAAACUGCUUUUAUAAGUGAGGAAUAUGACGGUAGCUUAUGAAUAAGGAUCGGCUAACUACGUGCCAGCAGCCGCGGUCAUACGUAGGAUCCGAGCGUUAUCCGGAGUGACUGGGCGUAAAGAGUUGCGUAGGCGGUUUGUUAAGUGAAUAGUGAAAUCUGGUGGCUCAACCAUACAGGCUAUUAUUCAAACUGGCAAACUCGAGAGUGGUGGAGGUCACUGGAAUUUCUUGUGUAGGAGUGAAAUCCGUAGAUAUAAGAAGGAACACCGAUGGCGUAGGCAGGUGACUGGACCAUUUCUGACGCUAAGGCACGAAAGCGUGGGGAGCGAACCGGAUUAGAUACCCGGGUAGUCUACGCCGUAAACGAUGGAUACUGGCUGUUGGAGGUAUCGACCCCUUCAGUAGCGAAGCUAACGCGUUAAGUAUCCCGCCUGUGGAGUACGGUCGCAAGACUAAAACAUAAAGGAAUUGACGGGGACCCGCACAAGCGGUGGAUCGUGUUCUUUAAUUCGAUGCUAAACGAAGAACCUUACCAGGUCUUGACAUCCAGGGAAUUUUUGGGAAACCAAUUAGUGCCUUUUGGAACCCUGUGACAGGUGAUGCGUGGCCGUCGUCAGCUCGUGUCGUGAGAUGUUUGGUUAAGUCCAUCAACGAGCGCAACCCUUGCAACUAGUUGGAUUUUUCUAGUUGGACUGCUUCGGUAACGGAGAGGAAGGAGGGGAUGAUGUCAGGUC
Molecule: ribosomal RNA, 1142 nt
Filed under: uncultured Candidatus Saccharibacteria bacterium
Lineage: Bacteria; Candidatus Saccharimonadota
Description: bacterial SSU rRNA
Rfam family: Bacterial small subunit ribosomal RNA
Source: RNAcentral